RNA transcript from Mus musculus (house mouse), 282 nucleotides. It is a transcript of the gene named predicted gene 6042, with no coding region annotated. The record is from RefSeq and is marked provisional. NCBI's taxonomy places the organism in Eukaryota, Metazoa, Chordata, Mammalia, Rodentia, Muridae. The transcript is spliced from 2 exons.
AUGAUCAUGAAGCAUGAGGAGAAGGAGCAGAUCAAGUGUCUCAACAGCAGGUUCGCAGCCUUCAUCGACAAGAUGGGUGUCCUUGAACACUCUGUGCCCAUUCAGGGUGCGUCUAACCGCAAGUGCUGCGAGAGCAUCGUGGAGCCGCUGUUCAGCGGCUGCAUUGGAAUGCUGAGGCGGGAGACACGGUGCACGGAGGUGGACAGUGAGAGGCUGGCCUUAGACAAAACUCAACCGGGCACAGGAGGCCCCAUGGAGGGCUACAAGAAGCUUGGGCAGUUA